RNAcentral lists this ribosomal RNA (253 nucleotides) under uncultured bacterium. RNAcentral describes it as "partial 16S ribosomal RNA". It matches the Rfam family "Bacterial small subunit ribosomal RNA", at positions 524 to 776 of the family's 1533-position model. The record is from RNAcentral.
UACGGGGGGGGCAAGCGUUGUUCGGAAUUACUGGGCGUAAAGGGCUCGUAGGCGGCCAACUAAGUCAGACGUGAAAUCCCUCGGCUUAACCGGGGAACUGCGUCUGAUACUGGAUGGCUUGAGUUUGGGAGAGGGAUGCGGAAUUCCAGGUGUAGCGGUGAAAUGCGCAGAUAUCAGGAGGAACACCAAUGGCGAAGGCAGCUCGCUGGAACGGUACUGACGCUGAGGCGCGAAAGCGUGGGGAGCGAACAGG